UGAGGAAUAUUGGGCAAUGCCCGCAAGGGUGACCCAGCAACGCCGCGUGGAGGAUGAAUGUCGUAAGAUUGUAAACUCCUGUUAGAGGGGAAGAAUAGUACCGGUUGGACCGGUAUAUGACUGUACCCUCAGAGAAAGCCCCGGCUAACUACGUGCCAGCAGCCGCGGUAAUACGUAGGGGGCAAGCGUUGUCCGGAUUUACUGGAUGUAAAGGGCGCGCAGGCGGGAUAAAAAGUCAGUGGUGAAAUCCUACAGCUUAACUGUAGAACGGCCUUUGAUACUUUUAUUCUUGAGUUCGGGAGAGAGAGACGGAAUUCCAGGUGGAGUGGUGAAAUACGUAGAUAUCUGGAAGAACACCAGUUGCGAAGGCGGUCUCUUGGUCCGACACUGACGCUGAGGCGCGAAAGCGUGGGGAGCAAACA
This 422-nucleotide ribosomal RNA is filed under the name uncultured bacterium. RNAcentral describes it as "bacterial SSU rRNA". It matches the Rfam family "Bacterial small subunit ribosomal RNA", at positions 355 to 774 of the family's 1533-position model. The record is from RNAcentral.